This 270-nucleotide long non-coding RNA is filed under the name Vigna radiata. RNAcentral's name for it is "long non-coding RNA (VRAD_LNC013706)". The record is from RNAcentral. Lineage: Eukaryota; Viridiplantae; Streptophyta; Magnoliopsida; Fabales; Fabaceae.
GAAUUCACAAAAUCCAAAUAUAAAACCUUUAUCUCUAUGAUCACAGUCUUACCGCCGACAACCAUAACUCAUUCAGGCACUAAUCACAAUAACAAAAGAGCUUAUUUGUGGUAUCAGAUUCGACAAGAUGCUCCUCCACUUCCUCAGCCCUUCUUCCUUUCCUGUGGAGUCACCAUAUCUGACUCCAAAAUCUUCCUGUUCUAAAAUCAACAAACAUAUAUGUCCAUCUAAAGCCGUCAAAAUGGGUCACAACCCGCGAGUCAACCCAGC